AUUCUUAUCAUUCACAGAUGUGUGCUUCUCAAGCUUUGUUCUAUACAAAUUUUAAUGCACCUGACACUCACUUCAGGAUCAUUGGCAUUGAUCAAAUAAGGCAAGGGAAAGGGAAUUGAUAAAGCAGAAAGCUUUAGAGAAAGCUAGAAAGCUUCAGGUAA
Molecule: long non-coding RNA, 161 nt
Organism: Malus domestica (apple)
Lineage: Eukaryota; Viridiplantae; Streptophyta; Magnoliopsida; Rosales; Rosaceae
Source: RefSeq, a predicted model, not a curated record